GAUGAACGCUGGCGGCGUGCCUAACACAUGCAAGUCGAACGGAAAGGCCCUGCUCUUGUGGGGUGCUCGAGUGGCGAACGGGUGAGUAACACGUGAGUAACCUGCCCUUGUCUUUCGGAUAACAUCAGGAAACUGGGGCUAAUAUCGGAUAGGAGCUCCUGCUGCAUGGUGGGGGUUGGAAAGUGUCGGCGGUUGGGGAUGGACUCGCGGCUUACCAGCUUGUUGGUGGGGUAGUGGCUUACCAAGGCUUUGACGGGUAGCCGGCCUGAGAGGGUGACCGGCCACAUUGCGACUGAGGUACGGCCCAGACGCCUACGGGAGGCAGCGGUGGGGAAUAUUGCACAGUGGGCGGGAGCCUGAUACAGCAGCGCCGCGUGCGGGAUGACGGCCUUCGGGUUAUAAACCGCUUUCGCCUGUGACGAAGCGUGAGUGACGGUAAUGGGUAAAGAAGCACCGGCUAACUACGUG
This 468-nucleotide ribosomal RNA is filed under the name uncultured bacterium. RNAcentral describes it as "partial 16S ribosomal RNA". It matches the Rfam family "Bacterial small subunit ribosomal RNA", at positions 28 to 507 of the family's 1533-position model. The record is from RNAcentral.